RNAcentral lists this ribosomal RNA (776 nucleotides) under uncultured Neocallimastigales. RNAcentral describes it as "partial large subunit ribosomal RNA". It matches the Rfam family "Eukaryotic large subunit ribosomal RNA", at positions 22 to 635 of the family's 3401-position model. The record is from RNAcentral. Lineage: Eukaryota; Fungi; Neocallimastigomycota; Neocallimastigomycetes; Neocallimastigales.
GUACACGCUGUGACUAGCAUAUCAAUAAGCGGAGGAAAAGAAACUAACAAGGAUUCCCCUAGUAACGGCGAGUGGAAGCGGGAAGAGCUCAAAUUUGAAAUCUUAAAGGGUUUCCCUUUACGAAUUGUAGUUUAAAGAAGUGUUUUCUGUUGAGGUUUUGGUAAAAGUUCUUUGGAAUAGGACAUCAUAGAGGGUGAGAAUCCCGUAUUUGACCUUUACUUUCAACUUUGUGAUACACUUUCAAAGAGUCGGAUUGUUUGGGAAUGCAGUCCAAAAUGGGUGGUAAAUUUCAUCUAAAGCUAAAUAUUGGCGAGAGACCGAUAGCGAACAAGUACCGUGAGGGAAAGAUGAAAAGAACUUUGAAAAGAGAUGUUAAACAGUACGUGAAAUUGUCAAAAGGGAAGCGUUUGACUCCAGUGUUGUUUUUCUGAAAAUCAAUUAAAGAACUGUUUAUGCUAAGCUGUUUAGACUUUAUCAGCUAUCUGUUUAGUUUUGAGCUUUUCUUUAAUGCACUUUUCAGUUAACAAGUCAACAUCAAUUUCUUUUGCUGUAAAAAAGCUUGAGGAAGGUGGCUUGAGAUUCGUCUUAAGUGUUUAUAGCCUCUUGCCUAUGCAGUCGGAGAGAUUGAGGUCUGCAGCGUAGAUCCUUCGGGGCUAAAUGCAUUUGUGCUAAGUUAUAGCAUUUUAUAGACAACUUGUUGACUAUGAUUUGUCUUGUAGCUUACUCGCUUAUGUUAUUUUACCUACGCUUAGGAUGUUGAAGAUGUAGCACAUCAU